This is a long non-coding RNA of Malus domestica (apple), 1209 nucleotides long. RefSeq lists it as uncharacterized. The record is from RefSeq and is a predicted model, not a curated record. Lineage: Eukaryota; Viridiplantae; Streptophyta; Magnoliopsida; Rosales; Rosaceae.
CCGAUGGAAAUCCUAGAAAAAAAGCUAUAUAAACUCAUUCAGCAGCUCAUUUCUCCAAAAUUUCAAAUUUUCAAAUUCUAGCCGUUCGAGAGCUCUCCCUCAUUUCUCUCUCAUUUCUUCCAAGCAAACCCUAAAACCGCAGCUCCUCUCUCCACAUUUUCUCAAACCCUAACCUCCGUCUCUGCAAACCAAACCUUAAUCCUCCAUCAUCAACCCCAUACGAUCUCGCAGCCAUGGAUUUGCUGCAACACCAGAAGGGUAGCAGCACCGAUCUUGGUGCCGACGCACUCAGAGGUAAACUUCUCGCCCUCCCUUGUCGAUUCAUGCACUCAGGUUCACCGAUUGAAAUAUACCAUACAAGAAAAAUCUUAAAAUCCUAAUGCUUGUGUUGUUUCUUUUGCAUGGACCUGAGAUCCGUUAAAAAAAAAGACGAUGGAACACAGGAAAUCGCAGAUCCAUCAUUUUUGAAAGCAGGCAUCAAGGGCAAACGGACCUGAGUUGUGAGGCUCAGAUCCACUACAUGGAAGUAAGAGAAAAAUGGAAAUGAACUCUUGGACCAAACUGGAUUAAGCAAUGUGGACCCUUCUGCACUCGGACCCGAACUUUAGAAAAUGUAUUAGGAAUUUCGAAAUGGUCUGUAAUUAAUUCAUGGGGUGGGAGUGAGUGGGUCUGAGUGCAGAAGCUUCAUCAGAAUCGCCAUGGUAUGAUCUCUGAAAACCCCGCUUGUUAACUGAUGUGUGCUGUGACUGCUUAGAAACAUGCUUAGGGUUAUAUCUGUUAGAUGUGCAUGAUUAGGGAUGGCCUUAGAAACUUAGUCAUGUAAUGAUAGGUUAGGACCUCAUAUCUGCUCGUUUGCUUUGGAUUUCCGCCUUUCUGCCAUAUGAUACUAGUAGAACUGCUGUGGUUGAUGUCAAUGUAGAAUUGCUGCUGGAUGCAGGAUCCAGCCCUAUAUUAUCCGUCCGGGGCGAUCUCGUUUACCUUGCAUGUUUUGAAAUCAACCUGCAUAUUCACCAAUUUUUGCAUCAGAAGCAUGUUUCACAAACCCUUUUCCAAUCAAGAUUUAUUUCUGCAAGCAAAUAUGCAGGUUAAAAAUUGUAACACGGAUUUUGAAAUCUACAAGUAAAAUAUGAAAGAGAAAUUAAAAAAAACAAAAAACAAAAUGUUUUUGGAUUUUUCAAAUAUUGACUUUUUUUCGUAAAGAGUUUGACG